This is a long non-coding RNA of Lycium ferocissimum, 574 nucleotides long. RefSeq lists it as uncharacterized. Lineage: Eukaryota; Viridiplantae; Streptophyta; Magnoliopsida; Solanales; Solanaceae. The transcript is spliced from 2 exons. The record is from RefSeq and is a predicted model, not a curated record.
CCCCCCCACAAUUCCCUUUACUCACGGCGGCCUAACUUCUCCCUCCCUCACCUUUUCUUAUUUUUUUCUCUCUUUUGUGCUUGAAUUUUAUGUGUGCUAGUUACUUUUUUUUUUAUGUACUUUUUCUUUUGUAGGUUUUUACAAAGUGGAGUUCCCGAAAGAGAUGAAUUGAAUAAUAUGCUUGCUGCCUUGAAUCAUAUUUUUUUUGUGGAUGCGAAGAGACCUUGUUUUCAUCUUCAAUAUGCAAACAUUAGAGUCAAGCAGAGAAGUCUUCUGAGGAGGGUGUCGUCAUAGAGAUUCCAAUUGCUGCUUUGUAUGAAGGCUCGCCAAGUGACUAUCAAAUAAUCUGUAUUCUUGGAGUCACUAGUCAACAUUAGAAUUUAAUUGUAGUUAGCAUUCUUAGCAUGAUGGGAGAAAAUUUUGUAUUUCUUGAGAACCAUUUAGUAUUGGUGGUGUUAUAAUAUUUAUAAAAAUGUAGUGUGUUGAAGUGACUCUUUUAUUGUAAUUCAGAAUUGUUUCAGAGUGUAUGACUUGUAUAUCGAAAUUAUAUGAAUGAUUAUGGUAUUAGAUUAGA